Molecule: ribosomal RNA, 461 nt
Filed under: uncultured bacterium
Lineage: Bacteria
Description: bacterial SSU rRNA
Rfam family: Bacterial small subunit ribosomal RNA
Source: RNAcentral
AAUGAACGUUGGCGGCGUGGAUUAGGCAUGCAAGUCGAGCGCUCAUAGCAAUAUGGGAGCGGCGAACGGCGUAGGAAUUCAUAGGAACGUACCCUCAGGACGGGGAUAGCUACGGGAAACUGUAGGUAAUACCCGAUGAUCUCCGCGGAGCAAAGGUGUGAUUCCGCCUGAGGAGCGGCUUAUGCGAUAUUAGCUAGUUGGUGGGGUAAUGGCCUACCAAGGCGACGAUGUCUAGGGGGUGUGAGAGCAUGGCCCCCCACGACCGGAACUGAGAUACUGUCCGGACACCUACGGGUGGCUGCAGUCGAGAAUCUUCCGCAAUGGACGAAAGUCUGACGGAGCGACGCCGCGUGCGGGAUGAAGGCCCUUGGGUUGUAAACCGCUUUCGGAGGGGAUGAAAUCCUCGAGGGUUCUCCCUCGAGGUUGACAGAGCCUCAAAAGAAGCACGGGCUAAGUACGUG